UACGUAGGGUGCGAGCGUUAAUCGGAAUUACUGGGCGUAAAGCGUGCGCAGGCGGUUUUGUAAGACAGAUGUGAAAUCCCCGGGCUUAACCUGGGAAUGGCAUUUGGGACUGCAAGGCUUGAGUGCGGCAGAGGAGACUGGAAUUCCUGGUGUAGCAGUGAAAUGCGUAGAUAUCAGGAGGAACACCGAUGGCGAAGGCAGGUCUCUGGGCUGACACUGACGCUCAUGCACGAAAGCAUGGGGAGCAAACAGG
Molecule: ribosomal RNA, 253 nt
Filed under: uncultured bacterium
Lineage: Bacteria
Description: partial 16S ribosomal RNA
Rfam family: Bacterial small subunit ribosomal RNA
Source: RNAcentral